Molecule: long non-coding RNA, 517 nt
Filed under: Pan troglodytes (chimpanzee)
Lineage: Eukaryota; Metazoa; Chordata; Mammalia; Primates; Hominidae
Description: long non-coding RNA NONPTRT003200
Source: RNAcentral
AACUGAAGAAUGAACCUCUGGAAGGACUAAGGGGAACAAUUCUUGGAGCUCAGUUCUUUCUGUCACCUCUCUGAAGACCUGGUUCAUAUCUGCAGCUGCAACUCUAUCCCUGAACUCAUCUUUGAAACUACCCAGAGGUCCACGUCACCUUUAGGAGCUGUAACACUCACCGCGAAGGUCUGCAGCUUCACUCCUGAAGCCAGCGAGACCACGAACCCACCGGGAGGGAUGAACAACUCCGGACGGGAGGAAUGAACAACUCCAGACGUGCCAUCUUAAGAGCUGUAACACUCACUGCGAAGGUCUGCAGCUUCACUCCUGAAGCCAGCAUGACCAUGAACCCACCAGAAGGAAGAAACUCUGAACACAUCUGAACAUCAGAAGGAACAAACUCCAGACACGCCACCUUUAAGAACUGUAACACUCACCGCGAGGGUCCGCAGCUUCGUUCUUGAAAUCAGUGAGCCCAAGAACCCACCAAUUCCAGACACAGUAACACCAGUUAUCACUGAUUGCA